UACGUAGGGCGCAAGCGUUAUCCGGAAUUAUUGGGCGUAAAGAGCUCGUAGGCGGUUUGUCGCGUCUGCCGUGAAAGUCCGGGGCUCAACUCCGGAUCUGCGGUGGGUACGGGCAGACUAGAGUGAUGUAGGGGAGACUGGAAUUCCUGGUGUAGCGGUAGAAAUGCGCAGAUAUCAGGAAGAACACCCGUGGCGAAGGCGGUUCUCUGGGACGGUACUGACGCUGAGACGCGAAAGCGUGGGGAGCGAACAGG
This 254-nucleotide ribosomal RNA is filed under the name uncultured bacterium. RNAcentral's name for it is "partial 16S ribosomal RNA". It matches the Rfam family "Bacterial small subunit ribosomal RNA", at positions 524 to 776 of the family's 1533-position model. The record is from RNAcentral.